AGGAUUAUAGUUUAAAAAUAAAUAUUUGAUUUGCAUUCAAAAGAUAUUGAAAAAUCAAUUUAUCUUA
Molecule: transfer RNA, 67 nt
Filed under: Abraxas latifasciata
Lineage: Eukaryota; Metazoa; Arthropoda; Insecta; Lepidoptera; Geometridae
Description: tRNA-Ala
Rfam family: tRNA
About the family: Transfer RNA (tRNA) molecules are approximately 80 nucleotides in length.
Source: RNAcentral